Molecule: ribosomal RNA, 460 nt
Filed under: Symbiodinium sp. SydD2
Lineage: Eukaryota; Dinophyceae; Suessiales; Symbiodiniaceae
Description: LSU rRNA
Rfam family: Eukaryotic large subunit ribosomal RNA
Source: RNAcentral
UGGAUUGUGGCCUUUAGACAUUGUACCAACGGCGGCGCGAGCGUAAGCCUCUUGGAAUAGAGCGUCUACCUGGGUGAGAAUCCUGUGUUUCGCUUGAUGUCCGCCGUGCACGGUACUUGCUCACAGAGUCACGCUCCUCGGAAUUGGAGCGUAAAUUGGGUGGUAAAUUUCAUCUAAAGCUAAAUACAGGCUCGAGACCGAUAGCAAACAAGUACCAUGAGGGAAAGAUGAAAAGGACUUUGAAAAGAGAGUUAAAAGUGUUUGAAAUCGCUGAACUGGAAGCGAAUGGAACUAGUGCUCUGGCUGAGAUUGCUGUAAGUGACAGCCAAAUUUGGGUGUCUGAACGCAAGUCUCUCACCUGGCUGGAAGCUGUUGCUUGCAAUGUGUCUCAGCUUGAAUGUCAAUGUCUAUGCGCGCAUGAGGAUGGCCUCUGGCUCAUGCUAUCUUGCUGAGGCGAGAU